Molecule: long non-coding RNA, 288 nt
Organism: Carassius auratus (goldfish)
Lineage: Eukaryota; Metazoa; Chordata; Actinopteri; Cypriniformes; Cyprinidae
Exons: 3
Source: RefSeq, a predicted model, not a curated record
AUUCUGUUCCAGGAUCUCUGCAUGAGACUGUCACCUGCUGUGCUCUGUAUUUUCUGAGACCUGUAAUGUUGAUUUGGGCUUUGCGCUAUUUAAAGUAUCUUCAAGGCAACCUAAAAUCAUGGAUCAGGUUUUUCAGAAUAACAAGAGAAUUUGCUGUUUUUACAGUCUUUGUAUAUUCAGUUCUUUUUAUAUAUGUCUGGAGAAAGAGAGCACAUGAUACAGACAUCAAACCUCGCAUGUUUUCUGCAGUUUUAUUUGGAAUUGUUGUGCUGAGUUGUCUCAUCUUGG